GACGAACGCUGGCGGCGUGCUUAACGCAUGCAAGUCGAACGGAAAGGCCCUGCUUUUGUGGGGUGCUCGAGUGGCGAACGGGUGAGUAACACGUGAGUAACCUGCCCUUGACUUUGGGAUAACUUCAGGAAACUGGGGCUAAUACCGGAUAGGAGCUCCUGCUGCAUGGUGGGGUUUGGAAAGUUUGGGCGGUUGGGGAUGGACUGGGGGGUUUUCAGUUGGUUGGUGGGGUAGUGGAUUCCCAGGGCUUUGCGGGGAAGCCGGCCUGGGAGGGUGACCGGGCCCAUUGGGACUGGGGUACCGGCCAGACGCCUACGGGGGGCAGAGGGGGGGAAUAAUGCAAAAUGGGCGGAAGCCUGAAGCAGCAAAGCCGGGUGGGGGAUGACGGCCUUCGGGUUGGAAACCGCUUUCGCCUGUGACGAAGCGUGAGUGACGGUAAUGGGUAAAGAAGCACCGGCUAACUACGUG
This 468-nucleotide ribosomal RNA is filed under the name uncultured bacterium. Its description in RNAcentral is "partial 16S ribosomal RNA". It matches the Rfam family "Bacterial small subunit ribosomal RNA", at positions 28 to 507 of the family's 1533-position model. The record is from RNAcentral.